RNAcentral lists this long non-coding RNA (1903 nucleotides) under Oryctolagus cuniculus (rabbit). RNAcentral describes it as "lncRNA (ENSOCUG00000037447.1)". Lineage: Eukaryota; Metazoa; Chordata; Mammalia; Lagomorpha; Leporidae. The record is from RNAcentral.
GAUUGGACUAAGUCACUCAGGCCUGCCCUUCUGUGCUGCCCUGGGAUUUGCAGUGCAUGAGUGGCGAUGUGGUAUAGCAGUGCUCCUGGCCACUUGAUGAGGGAGAGACGCACACCUGGGUUCCUGUCCUGACCUUGUAAACUUAGCCAGCUUGUCAGCAUCUCUUUGGUGCAGCUUCCAUUUAUGAAAUAAAGAGCAUAAUAGCAACUACCUCCUACCGCUUCGUAAGAAUUCAGUCCAAUUAUCUGGAGCUAGGCGUAUGAAUAACAGCCCGGGGAAAGACAGAACAGGUCUUCCUCACCAGUUUGACAACCCUGGGAUUUUUAUAGAUGUGCCCCGUGAUGGAUUCAAUGCUGUGUUUUGUUUCCUUUUGAUUUGUUUUUAUAAGAAUGUGAGAACUUAAAGCAGGCUCCAAAUUCUUUCAAUAAAGAAUAAUCCCCAAGGGGAAACAUUGGCAGCUGUUUUGGUGUUGGGGAAAGCCUGUCCGUGUAUUUUGAGUCAGGAGCUUCCUCUGCAGACAGUUGGCCAGAAUCCCCAGCGCCCUCCUACCUGGGGUUUGGGGAGGUCAGGUUUCCUGCUGGGCACUCAGACUUCGGGGCAAAGUCAGCUGGUGCUGGCGGAGUGGUUUUGACUGUAGAUGGGGAACAAACUGGCCUGCACAGCCACAGGAAGAGUGCACCCUCCCCUUCCCUGAGAUGGCAGAAGAUGGCAGAAGCCUAGAGACUGAGCCCCACAGACUGCGGAGGGGGUACAAAGGGCUCCUCCUACCGUUUGCAGGAGAGGGGAGGUCAGCUUGAAUGUACGCAAACCACAGAUGCACUCAGAGGCAGACUUUCCUUGCAUUGCCCAGCUGACCUCGUUCGUGUUCAAUCUCAGUUCCUGCCCUUGUCCAGGGAUGGGAAAACCAAAUCCUGUUCUUCGCACCGGAUUCCUGCGGUGCCCCCAUUUCUGUCCUGCUUUGCCUCCACUGGACCUCCUCUGGAUCGCUGGAGCAGUCCCCCAGCCCAUGACACCGAAACAGGGCUCACCCCUUCUGAUCCUGCUGCCACCGUGCUGUCGGAUUUCCAGGGCUCAGAAUCCUCCUGGGCUCCUGUGUGCACCAGAGUCACCUGCAGAGUUUGCUAAGGCAGAGAUUUCCAGCCACGGCCCCCGCGUUCUUCAUUCAGUCGCCGCUGUGGGAGGCUGAGAAUCCACAGCUCUGACAGUGUCUCACGUGAAGUUGAUACUGUUCAUCCAAGGACACUUUGAAAGCCUGGAGAAUGAAGCCUAUGCUUUUAGCAGUACAAGGCGAUCUGAGGCCUGACCCUGCCUGGGUCUUCCUUUCUCUCUUACCGUUGACAUUUUAAACACCCGCAGAAUGUGCUACUGUGUGUGCCAGCCGACGACGUGCUGCUUCCGUUGGCAAUUCUAUCGCGUUCUUCCUGCUGGUAAUUUGCUUCUCCACUUUAUCUGCCUUCAAAUCCUCACUCAAGUAUCCCUGCCUCAAUGAUGUCUUCAAUUGCCCCGGCCCCCGUCAGGUGCCUUAACCAGAGUUCUAUUAUUUUUCUGUUUUUAUAUAUCCUUCUAUUCCAUCCUAACCAGAUUAUGGGACCCUUAAGGACUAGAAUUAUCCCCUUUUCCUUGGCUUCCCCCAGUUCCAAAGAGAUAUUAAAUCAAUGUUUGUAUGUCUGUGCUUAACCAGGAAAACUGGUCAGAGAAGAAAUCUACUCAGUAAGUCUGCACUAUUUUUUUUUCAGCGCUUGGAAAUCCUCAGUUGUCUCUGUUUGCAGGAGAACUCCUGUUUGGAAUAUCCAAACUUGGAGGACAAGGAAAUGUACAGCAGAGGCCAUCUGUGUCUAGGAAUUUUCUUGGAUAAUCUAGCCAUCAAUGAAGAAUAAAAAGUGGUGGCUGGCAUUGUGGUGCA